CACGUAGGGUGCGAGCGUUGUCCGGAAUUAUUGGGCGUAAAGAGCUCGUAGGCGGUGUGUCGCGUCGGCCGUGAAAACCCGCAGCUCAACUGCGGGCUUGCGGUCGAUACGGGCAGGCUGGAGUUCGGUAGGGGAGACUGGAAUUCCUGGUGUAGCGGUGAAAUGCGCAGAUAUCAGGAGGAACACCGGUGGCGAAGGCAGCCUCCUGGGAUAAUACUGACGCUCAUGCACGAAAGCGUGGGGAGCAAACAGG
This 253-nucleotide ribosomal RNA is filed under the name uncultured bacterium. RNAcentral describes it as "partial 16S ribosomal RNA". It matches the Rfam family "Bacterial small subunit ribosomal RNA", at positions 524 to 776 of the family's 1533-position model. The record is from RNAcentral.